This 250-nucleotide ribosomal RNA is filed under the name uncultured bacterium. Its description in RNAcentral is "partial 16S ribosomal RNA". It matches the Rfam family "Bacterial small subunit ribosomal RNA", at positions 102 to 353 of the family's 1533-position model. The record is from RNAcentral.
ACGGGUGAGUAAUGUCUGGGAAACUGCCUGAUGGAGGGGGAUAACUACUGGAAACGGUAGCUAAUACCGCAUAACGUCGCAAGGCCAAAGAGGGGGACCUUCGGGCCUCUUGCCAUCAGAUGUGCCCAGAUGGGAUUAGCUAGUAGGUGGGGUAACGGCUCACCUAGGCGACGAUCCCUAGCUGGUCUGAGAGGAUGACCAGCCACACUGGAACUGAGACACGGUCCAGACUCCUACGGGAGGCAGCAUG